AGUGAACGCUGGCGGUAGGCCUAACACAUGCAAGUCGAACGGCAGCACAGUAAGAGCUUGCUCUUACGGGUGGCGAGUGGCGGACGGGUGAGGAAUACAUCGGAAUCUACUUUUUCGUGGGGGAUAACGUAGGGAAACUACGCUAAUACCGCAUACGACCUACGGGUGAAAGCAGGGGAUCUUCGGACCUUGCGCGGUUGAAUGAGCCGAUGUCGGAUUAGAUAGUUGGCGGGGUAAAGGCCCACCAAGGCGACGAUCCGUAGCUGGUCUGAGAGGAUGAUCAGCCACACUGGAACUGAGACACGGUCCAGACUCCUACGGGAGGCAGCAGUGGGGAAUAUUGGACAAUGGGCGCAAGCCUGAUCCAGCCAUACCGCGUGGGUGAAGAAGGCCUUCGGGUUGUAAAGCCCUUUUGUUGGGAAAGAAAAGCAGCAGGUUAAUACCCCGCUGUUCUGACGGUACCCAAAGAAUAAGCACCGGCUAACUUCGUG
RNAcentral lists this ribosomal RNA (491 nucleotides) under uncultured bacterium. RNAcentral describes it as "partial 16S ribosomal RNA". It matches the Rfam family "Bacterial small subunit ribosomal RNA", at positions 29 to 507 of the family's 1533-position model. The record is from RNAcentral.